RNAcentral lists this transfer RNA (73 nucleotides) under Paramuricea clavata. It matches the Rfam family "tRNA". From Rfam's summary of the family: Transfer RNA (tRNA) molecules are approximately 80 nucleotides in length. Lineage: Eukaryota; Metazoa; Cnidaria; Anthozoa; Malacalcyonacea; Plexauridae. The record is from Rfam by way of RNAcentral.
GACCGCCUAGCUCAGUUGGAAGAGCAUUGGGCUAGUAUUCCAAAGGUCGUAGGUUCGAAUCCCACCGUGGCCG